GUUCCAGGUCGAGGGCUCGAUCACGCUCGCGGCAGCCGCACUUCGAUAACGGCCGAAAUGCAAAAAAAAAAAACGCUCGUGUAUUUAGUUUUAGAAGCGCGCGAAAGAACCCCAGGUGGUCAUAAUUAACCCGUAUUCUCACCGCUACGGCGCGUCUCGUAAUCAGAUCGUUUCGCUCGCGCACGCAAUUGAAGGCCUAGAAUUUAAUUUCAAUUUUUUUUUUUGUUCAAAGAGAAACGGUGCGGCAGGAGCAAGCGACUGCGUGUGCAGACAAUUAACUCGAAACAUGUCGCGACGCGCGUUCACGAGUUGCAAGUCAUGCUCGCUGCCGGAGCCCAACGCGAAUGCGAAGGCGGCCACGGAACCGCGAAGGUUCCGUCGGCGGGUUUAUAAUAUCCAUAAAACUACGGCGACAGCGCUAACGCCAUUGCGUGUCCAAGAACACAGUGGAAGCAUGUGGAAGCUUCUAGAACAUUCCGAGUUCGGCAACUGUAUGCAGGCGGCGUCUUUUUUUUUUUUUAUUCCUUUGUUUUUACCAUCACCACUGGCGCCGAUCACUGUGAUAGCAGCGGCGCGGCGGCUAGCUAGCCGGUGACGUAGUUCGAUAUUAGACCAAUGAGAGAAGAAAAGAAAUGGCCCAGCGUAUCAACGCAUGCGCCGAAGAGCUUAGCGUCGCGGGCGUCGUGGCAAUAUAGCGAGCAUCCGAUGGCUUGGGCCGCCAUUUUACAUUUUCUGUCCACUUCGGCGUGGCUCUUAUCGGCUGCCUUCUGCGUCGCACCGUACUUCGAGGUCCUGCUGGUCUAAAUUACGCGCUAACCGUGGCAGCGCUUGUCCAAGUUGCACGCUGCGCAUGUUCUCGCCUUCGGCCGUCUCUGGAAGCACUGGCUUCAUGCCCCGGGCCUGCAAAACGUGAGACACGCUUCGAAAGACUUUUUUUCCCCGACCCGCCUCCCGCCUCGGCAAUUCCUGUCCCCUCUUUCGAGCUCCCGGAGCGUAAGUGACGGCCAGCCGGCAUUUACUACGUUAUACUAUACGCCAACGACACUCCGGUCGAGCCGGCGCAGCGUGUAAGUCGCGAGUCGUUCCUGCCGGGUCCCCGUUCUUUUGUUUGUGCGCGUUCCCACCCCCCGACGGCGCCUGGACUAUCGAACUGUGGACGAACUCUGAGCGUGGCCAUUAACCGAGGACCAGCGCGGGAACCCCUCGUCACGGCUAGCGUCGUCCUCUACGAGCUUCGCAUCGAGCGUCCUAAACGCUCAAAAGGCAUUUCCAUUUCGUUUGUGCAUUUUUCGAGCUGGUCUAGCUGGCGAGGGUGGCGCAAGCCUUAGAGGAGUUAACUGUCCAGUUGCACUAGCUAGCGCUUACUAGGAUGUAUGGCUACAUCACAAGAUAACGUAAGGUUAGUUUUGUUGCUUAGCUGUAAGCCCGAGGUUUCGCGGGCGUGGCUUGCGGCCACACGGGUCUUCUCCGUGCCGGAAUCGAAGAGGGCGGGCCACGUGUUGCGGGUGGCAGUGUAUAGCUUCAGGUUUUAGCUGGCACAGAGGGUUAGCUAACACUACGCAGGCAACAGCUGAUAGCCGUCCUCAUACGACUGCGUCAGGGACAUGGACCCAUCCGUAUGGCCUUGCCACCCGACCCCACUAUUUCGUGACAAGGUAGCCUGCGUGCGGGAGUGCGCGGACUACCUUGCGGGAUCUAGCGAAAUGUGGACUCACGGUAGCAAGCGUCAUUCGGAAACUGCCUCGCCAGCUAUCAUGUACUAACCCGCUCUCCGCAGCACCUCGACGCCGGACGUCGCCUGCUGUGUUCGUCGGAGCCGGGCCGGGCAUCAGCUGCGAGCGUCACUCGCACCGCCGCACACCGUGUUCUGUCGUCGGUGUGGUCUUGUGGGCCUGGACUACUACGGGAUCCCGAGGUCCGCUUUCGAGAUUGCGGACCACGAGUAGAAAGGAUAUCCAGUGCGCUGCUCCACGUUUGCCAUCCUCCCAACGUCCCCAACCGGAGAUGGCCUUGAGCACCACUUACCGUGGCUGACCGCGUUGGCCCCUUUGCAUUUCCACGUCCAUGGCGUCCUGCUGGCACGGGGGACUUCGUCUGCUACUACUGCCCACGUGUAAGAUGGAUAUCCAGCGCGCUGCUCCACGUUUGCCAUCCUCCCAACGUCCUCAUCAGGAGAUGGCCUCGAGCACCGCUCGCACCGUGGCCGACCGUUCCCCUUGGCCGGUGCGGUCUCCCUGGCAGAGGAGAUUGCUCAUCGCCCUGCUUUGCUACGGGAUCCCGACGUCUGCUUUCGAUUGAGGCCCACGAAUUGGAAGGUUACUCGUACUGGGGCCAACGCCGUUUCUUAAUUUACAUUCCCUCACCCAUGGCGUCCUGCUGGCAGUCGGAACCACGCUCCUCGCCCGCCACUACUGAUGGCCGUUUUUGACGGGGGUGAGCGAGGAGGACAUUCGAGGCAGAGUUGCCAAAAGAUCGGAUGCUUUUGAGCAACAAUCGUUCCACGUUUGCACAUCGGCCACCGACGGGACAUCCAAGUCUGAGCCUCGCCACGAACCCACAACCUGCGCGGCAACCCCUCGUCACGGCUAGCGUCGUCCUCUACGAGCUUCGCAUCGAGCGUCCUAAACGCUCACCAGGCAUUUGUAUUUGCUUUGUUCAUUUUUCUGGGUGGUCUAGCUGGCGAGGGUGGCGCAAGCCUUAGAGAAGUUAACUGUCCCGUUGCACUAGCUAGCGCUUACUAGGAUGUAUGGCUACAUCACAAGAUAACGUAAGGUUAGUUUUGUUGCUUAGCUGUAAGCCCGAGGUUUCGCGGGCGUGGCUUGCGGCCACACAGGUCUUCUCCGUGCCGGAAUCGAAGAGGACGGGCCACGUGUUGCGGGUGGCAGUGUAUAGCUUCAGAUUUUAGCUGGCACAGAGGGUUAGCUAACACUACGCAGGCAACAGCUGAUAGCCGUCCUCAUACGACUGCGUCAGGGACAUGGACCCAUCCGUAUGGCCUUGCCACCCGACCCCACUAUUUCGUGACAAGGUAGCCUGCGUGCGGGAGUGCGCGGACUACCUUGCGGGAUCUAGCGAAAUGUGGACUCACGGUAGCAAGCGUCAUUCGGAAACUGCCUCGCCAGCUAUCAUGUACUAACCCGCUCUACGCAGCAGCUCUACGCCGGACGUCGCCUGCUGUGUUCGUCGGAGCCGGGCCGGGCAUCAGCUGCGAGUGUCACUCGCACCGCCGCACACCGUGUUCUGUCGUCGGUGUGGUCUUGUGGGCCUGGACUACUGCGGGAUCCCGAGGUCCGCUUUCGAGAUUGCGGACCACGAGUAGAAAGGAUAUCCAGUGUGCUGCUCCACGUUUGCCAUCCUCCCAACGUCCCCAACCGGAGAUGGCCUUGAGCACCACUUACCGUGGCUGACCGCGUUGGCCCCUUUGCAUUUCCACGUCCAUGGCGUCCUGCUGGCACGGGGGACUUCGUCUGCUACUACUGCCCACGUGUAAGAUGGAUAUCCAGCGCGCUGCUCCACGUUUGCCAUCCUCCCAACGUCCUCAUCAGGAGAUGGCCUCGAGCACCGCUCGCACCGUGGCCGACCCUUCCCCUUGGCCGGUGCGGUCUCCCUGGCAGAGGAGAUUGCUCAUCGCCCUGCUCUGCUACGGGAUCCCGACGUCUGCUUUCGAUUGAGGCCCACGAAUUGGAAGGUUACUCGUACUGGGGCCAACGCCGUUUCUUAAUUUACAUUCCCUCACCCAUGGCGUCCUGCUGGCAGUCGGAACCACGCUCCUCGCCCGCCACUACUGAUGGCCGUUUUUGACGGGGGUGAGCGAGGAGGACAUUCGAGGCAGAGUUGCCAAAAGAUGCUUUUGAGCAACAAUCGUUCCACGUCUGUGCACGUUUGCACAUCGGCCGCCAACGGGACAUCCAAGUCUGAGCCUCGCCACGAACCCAGGACCUGCGCAGCAACCCCUCGUCGCGGCUAGCGUCGUCCUCUACGAGCUUCGCAUCGAGCGUCCUAAACGCUCACCAGGCAUUUGUAUUUGCUUUGUUCAUUUUUCUGGGUGGUCUAGCUGGCGAGGGUGGCGCAUGCCUUAGAGAAGUUAACUGUUUGUUCACUUGCACUAGCUAGCGCUUACUAGGAUGUAUGGCUACAUCACAAGAUAACGUAAAGUUAGGUUUGUUCCUUAGCUGUAAGCCCUAGGUGUCGUGGGCAUGGCGUGCGGCCACACGGGUCUUCUCCGUGCCGGAAUCGUAGAGGACGGGCCGCGUGUGUCGCGUGAUGGGGUAUAGCUUCAGGUUUAGCUACUGCGCAGGCUAUAGCUGUUAGCCGUCCUCUUACGACUGCGUCAGGGACAUGGACCCUUCCGUAUGGCCUUGCGACCCGACCCCACUAUUUCGUGACAAGGUAGCCCGCGCGCGUCAGUGCUAUCGAGCGAAAUGUGGGCUCACGGGAAGCAAGCGUCAUUCGGAAACUGCCUCGCCAGCUAUCAUGCACUAACCCGCUCUACGCAGCAUCUCGACGCCGGACGUCGCCUGCUGUGUUCGUCGGAGCUGGGCCGGGCAGCGGCUACGAACGUCACUCGUAUCACGGCCCACCGUGUUCCGUCGUCGGUGCGGUCUUGUGGGCCUGGACUACUACGGCAUCCCGACGUCUGCUUUCGAUCGCGACCGUCAAGAGUAGGAAGAUGAUCCAGUUUCUUCGCAUCCAUCGCAUUCCCUCGCCGCUGGAGUCUCGCUGGUGGAUUUGGCUUUCUUCCGCGCCAGGCACUACUCCUGGUUCCUACCGUCUGCUUUCCAUUGGGGCUAUUCACAAGCACAUCCAGCGGGCCACUUCAGCACAUCUAGUCUCUCUCCUACAAUACAGAGAUCAACUUCGUCUCUACUCGUCCCAUGGCCGGCUGUUUUACGUCAGCAUUUUCCUCGCCGGUGGCUUCCAGCUUGCAGACCGAGAUUCGUUCAUCUCGCUGCCCUACUUCUGACAAGUACCAUAUAGAUUCCAAUGGUACUACGGAUGUUUUCUCGUGUGGUAUCUAAAUCCUGCGUCAUUUAAGGUUCCGAACGUCUCUUUUGAAUGAAGCUUUGUUACGAGAUGGAGCUUUUCCAAUGGCAGCUGUUCCUUUUCUCUCAGUGCUGUUUUGCUUACUCAUGUUGCUACAUCUUCCCGGUGCCGCAAGCAUACAAACUUUGUGGGCUUCCGGAGAAAUUUGCUGUCGAAUGUAUAUACUAUGCCGGUCAUCGACGUUUGGUUUAUGCUACGGAAAACAUCCUUUGCCACACAGAUUUUGCAAUAGGCUCUUGACUAUCACUCUCCAUGUAAGACGACGUUGGACUUCAGUUCCUGGUGAUGUUAGGUGAUGUCAUUUCCUGACACAUAAAUUAUUUCGUCUACUCUCAGUUGCAUUUUUUACUGUGCUUUUGUAACUUCACAUGGUCUCCCCUUUUAUCGAAGGUUGCCGUCCUUCAAUGUCUCCUCCCACGCUUGUUUCCGCCCGUUGGGUAUGCAAGAGCUAAUGGAAUAGGUUGUCUAGGUCCACCGUGAACUUGCGUUAACAGUUGGUUGUUCUUGACGCACUUCGUAUAUUAAGGUAUAUUUCUCCAUUAUGCAGUACACGUCGGCCGAUCGCUUUUCGCAGUUGACUCGAAAAGUACGGAUGCGCCUUCAUCGGAAGCCGCCAUCUUACUGUGCUUCUUCAGCAGGUAAUUCCACUUGGUGAUUGGUCACGAACUCGUCAGUUGUUUGGCGACGUAAUGUUGUGACAACAUUCAAUUCCUUAUUAGUUUUCCGGUGUGUUGCGUUGUCGCUGAUCACAUUUAUUUUCGAGCUGGGAAGCACCGGAAAGAGUGUAGAAUAGAGUUCAAGCGUCUCCACCAGUUUCGCAGUGUACACCUGUUGUCACGGCGCAUGUGAAAGUUGUUACGCAAUAUGGCAAUGUCUCCUUUCUUUUGUAGUUGGUCCCUGAGCACCGUUGAAACGUAGGCCAACUAUUUCAAACAAUGUUGUCUUUAGUCCAUCGUCAAGAGGAAGUACUUCCUCUUACAAGGAUCUGUAACGUUAUUUUCGCCACACAACGCACUGUCGUAUUGCUUUGUUUCACUUAUUUUCGUCCCCUCUUUGCCCGAAAUCUCGUCAUUAUUCGAGUCGAUGUUCCACGUACUCCGUUGUGCAGUUUGUCCAUAUACGUGUCGGACUAAUAGUAAACAUUUCUUCCUGGUAUGUCAUUUGUUGCUGCUCGUCUUGUCAUAUGGGCCCUGCCAAAGGUGCCCUUGAAGUCUUCUUGGAACAUCUGGCACUCGCCUCUUGUCUACACAUUCGCUUGCUUGCUGAAUUUCUGCAAUUCUUUUCCAAUAUAGACACUUCGUUCUUGCCAAAUGAGGCAGGUUUCGGCAGUAUCUCUACGUUUAGUGGACCUUUGAACUUCUCUGCUAAUAUUCACCGAACGAAACAUCCACGCAGUUACCUUUCCAAUAUUCAAGUAAAUACCGAACCUGUCAACUUCGAUGCCUCGUCUUGAAAUCCUUUUCGACGUCCAAAACGGGAUUCAUCUGCUUCUUUCCUUCCAUUAUUAUCCGGCGUUUUGUAACGGCUAUUCCUUGGUCUGCAUAAACUCCGAUCCCUUCCACGAAAUUCACUACGAAAUCUCUUCUAGUGUGCCUCCUGGUUAUAUCUGCUACAUUUUCCGCAUAGUUUUCCUACUGAGCAAUCUUAGAUUUUUUUUAAAGCCUGUGUUCAACUUGUGCUUCAAGCAUUUUCUUUCUCCUAUGCACCAUGAUUGUACGAGAGGUCUAGUACUUUACUGAUGCUCGCAAGUUCUACUUUUGCUAGAAUGACGACGGUAUCCAUCAGAGCUACUGUUUUUGUCAGGACCAGCACUAUCUCCGCUCUCGUAACGUUACCAUGAAUGCUGCACUUACAUGCGCCGCCGGGCUUUCAUCCGAGAAAAAUGGUGUGUUGUGCUGUUCCGUUUCAUAUUGUCGAUUAAUUUUGGUUUUCCUGGAUGCAUUCCUCCAUAGAUCAUUUAUCUUCGUCUGGAAGACGGUUGUCCCAACAUGUUUCGGUUAUUCCUCGUUAUUGAAUGCCGAUAGCAGAAUACCGUCGGCCGCGUGCCAUUUCAUUCCUAGAAUUCUAGUCUCGCUUGGUUACGUAGGAACGGCGUCUUGAUGCGCAUUAAAAUUCUCAUCGGUGAUUGAUGUUUAUUUCCUAAGAUUCAUUGAAGCUUGGAGAUAUUUUUUGUAUUUGCUUCCUUGUUCAUGCAUUUUCCCUGGUUUUCUUGCGAUGUUCCAAGCAUAACUUCAUCAGCGAAAACCUAAUUACAUUUACGGUCAUUGCAGGAGUUCCUUCGAAAAUUCAUUAUUAUUGUUGGUACACCUGCGCCCAAAUUCCCUCCUGCCUGCACCUACACGACGAUCACUACAUUGUUUUUUCAGCUACUUUGCUUUUUCUCGCUGUUGCCUUCUCCGUCUCAUUUCCCUUCCCUCAGGGCAGGGAAGCAAACCAGAAUCUCAUCCGGUUUCUCUCUCGCCUCCUGCCUGAAAGUUAUCAUUCAAAACAUUCUUGAUCCUGACAUCGAAGCGUCAAAUACUACGCUUACUUUUACUUGUCGGUAUUCGGUCAUUGCGUGAUGCGACGUGUAGUAUUUAACGUUCGGAUUCUACCGAUCACGGUCGUUCUCCCAUUCCAAGCGUGAAACUUCUCGCAUUGAACAGUUGUACUUUUCUCUCGGUAAGACAUUUGUCUCCAGCUUUCGGUAUAGUCUUCCAGUUGCUACUUGGUUGGUUUCCACGUUCACUUGCUCUCCAUCCUUCUGAACAGUCCUUGUGCAGGUUGUAACUACAUGCUUCAACUCAUGCAUCGCUUCUUUCUCAGGAAUUCGCCCAGUAUAGUCCAUUCUCAACUUUUUGUUGGCGUUAUUUUCGUCACUUUUUGUGACGUCAAACACCAUAGCGGGAUUGAGUUUCGAACGUCUUAUUCUAGACCACAUUUGUGAGUCCAUUCGAGAAUGCUUUCCACUUUCCAUUGCAUCUUCCUUUCGUCUACGGUCUGCGCUCCAGAAGAUUACUUCGGGCACGAGCAUCACCUGUGGCAGGCACCGACUGCUGUUCUGCAUUCUCUCGCCAGUGGCGUCCUGCUGGUAGACUGGACUCGUCCCCUCACCCUCCCAUACGUCUGGUUCUGCACGCCUGUUUUCUGUUGCGGUCCACAAGGGUACCCAGCGCGCUCCUGCACUACUGUCCUCGCUGCAAGAUAUUACUUCGGGCACGAGCAUCCCCUGUACCAGGAGCGACCGCUAUUCUACGUUCUCUCGCCAGUGACGCCCUGCUGGUAGACUGGACUCGUCCCCUCGCCCUCCCAUACGUCUGGUUCUGCACGCCUGUUUUCUGUUGCGGUCCACAAGGGUACCCAGCGCGCUCCUGCACUACUGUCCUCGCUGCAAGAUAUUACUUCGGGCACGAGCAUCCCCUGUACCAGGAGCGACCGCUAUUCUACAUUCUCUCGCCAGUGACGCCCUGCUGGUAGACUGGACUCGUCCCCUCGCCCUCCCAUACGUCUGGUUCUGCACGCCUGUUUUCUGUUGCGGUCCACAAGGGUACCCAGCGCGCUCCUGCACUACUGUCCUCGCUGCAAGAUAUUACUUCGGGCACGAGCAUCCCCUGUACCAGGAGCGACCGCUAUUCUACGUUCUCUCGCCAGUGACGCCCUGCUGGUAGACUGGACUCGUCCCCUCGCCCUCCCAUACGUCUGGUUCUGCACGCCUGUUUUCUGUUGCGGUCCACAAGGGUACCCAGCGCGCUCCUGCACUACUGUCCUCGCUGCAAGAUAUUACUUCGGGCACGAGCAUCCCCUGUACCAGGAGCGACCGCUAUUCUACGUUCUCUCGCCAGUGACGCCCUGCUGGUAGACUGGACUCGUCCCCUCGCCCUCCCAUACGUCUGGUUCUGCACGCCUGUUUUCUGUUGCGGUCCACAAGGGUACCCAGCGCGCUCCUGCACUACUGUCCUCGCUGCAAGAUAUUGCUUCGGGCACGAGCAUCCCCUGUACCAGGAGCGACCGCUAUUCUACAUUCUCUCGCCAGUGACGCCCUGCUGGUAGACUGGACUCGUCCCCUCACCCUCCCAUACGUCUGGUUCUGCACGCCUGUUUUCUGUUGCGGUCCACAAGGGUACCCAGCGCGCUCCUGCACUACUGUCCUCGCUGCAAGAUAUUACUUCGGGCACGAGCAUCCCCUGUACCAGGAGCGACCGCUAUUCUACGUUCUCUCGCCAGUGACGCCCUGCUGGUAGACUGGACUCGUCCCCUCGCCCUCCCAUACGUCUGGUUCUGCACGCCUGUUUUCUGUUGCGGUCCACAAGGGUACCCAGCGCGCUCCUGCACUACUGUCCUCGCUGCAAGAUAUUACUUCGGGCACGAGCAUCCCCUGUACCAGGAGCGACCGCCAUUCUACAUUCUCUCGCCAGGGACGCCCUGCUGGUAGACUGGACUCGUCCCCUCACCCUCCCAUACGUCUGGUUCUGCACGCCUGUUUUCUGUUGCGGUCCACAAGGGUACCCAGCGCGCUCCUGCACUACUGUCCUCGCUGCGAGAUAUUACUUCGGGCACGAGCAUCCCCUGUACCAGGAGCGACCGCUAUUCUACACUCUCUCGCCAGUGGCCUCCUGCUGGUAGACUGGACUCGUCCCCUCGCCCUCCUAUACGUCUGGUUCUGCACGCCUGUUUUCUGUUGCGGUCCACAAGGGUACCCAGCGCGCUCCUGCACUACUGUCCUCGCUGCAAGAUAUUACUUCGGGCACGAGCAUCCCCUGUUCCAGGAGCGACCGCCAUUCUACAUUCUCUCGCCAGGGACGCCCUGCUGGUAGACUGGACUCGUCCCCUCACCCUCCCAUACGUCUGGUUCUGCACGCCUGUUUUCUGUUGCGGUCCACAAGGGUACCCAGCGCGCUCCUGCACUACUGUCCUCGCUGCGAGAUAUUACUUCGGGCACGAGCAUCCCCUGUACCAGGAGCGACCGCUAUUCUACACUCUCUCGCCAGUGGCCUCCUGCUGGUAGACUGGACUCGUCCCCUCACCCUCCCAUACGUCUGGUUCUGCACGCCUGUUUUCUGUUGCGGUCCACAAGGGUACCCAGCGCGCUCCUGCACUACUGUCCUCGCUGCAAGAUAUUACUUCGGGCACGAGCAUCCCCUGUUCCAGGAGCGACCGCCAUUCUACAUUCUCUCGCCAGGGACGCCCUGCUGGUAGACUGGACUCGUCCCCUCACCCUCCCAUACGUCUGGUUCUGCACGCCUGUUUUCUGUUGCGGUCCACAAGGGUACCCAGCGCGCUCCUGCACUACUGUCCUCGCUGCAAGAUAUUACUUCGGGCACGAGCAUCCCCUGUUCCAGGAGCGACCGCCAUUCUACAUUCUCUCGCCAGGGACGCCCUGCUGGUAGACUGGACUCGUCCCCUCGCCCUCCCAUACGUCUGGUUCUGCACGCCUGUUUUCUGUUGCGGUCCACAAGGGUACCCAGCGCGCUCCUGCACUACUGUCCUCGCUGCGAGAUAUUACUUCGGGCACGAGCAUCCCCUGUACCAGGAGCGACCGCUAUUCUACACUCUCUCGCCAGUGGCCUCCUGCUGGUAGACUGGACUCGUCCCCUCGCCCUCCUAUACGUCUGGUUCCCAGUGCAUGCUGUCGCUUGUGGUGCAAGAGAUGUUCCAGCACGCUCAUCUACAAGACUCCUGGCCUUACCUCAAGAGCGAAUAUCUUCAGCCCGGUCGUCCUGCCCCAGGAUCCAUACAACACGCUUCCUCCUUGCUGUGAAAGCCUCGCACGCCUGCACUGUUGGCGUGUUCAUGUUCUGAAGGACUACGUAUCGUCACCGUCCCGCAACCGUCCAUCGGAUGUGCUCCUAGAGUUCUUCAAUGUUGAUUUUUUGUUUGCGCAGGCAUAUUUAAUAAGUUUAAUAGAGCAACAAGCUUUUCUGCUCUGAAAGGUUCGUGCGUUGCUCACCGAAUGGAUGCGCUGCUCACCGAUGGAGCACAGUAAAUAAGCCUUUUUACUUGGACACCACUCGGUCUUUAAGAAGGGUUGUCAGUGUCUUCAUGAGCUGAUCUGUAAAUUUUUGGUGGCGAGAGUAACGGACAUUCAUUCCCAUUGUGCACUUUCGUAGUAGUACAUUGAUCGUGUGUGUGUGUGUGUGUGUGUGUGUGUGUGUGUGUGUGUGUGUGUGUGUGUGUGUGUGUGUGUGUGUGUGUGUGUGUGUGUGUGUCACGAGCUCGCAUUUUGGUUCGUCCAUUUCGGAUGUGUCACCUACUCUGUGCAUAUUUUAUUCGGUAGAGAACGUGUGACAUAUGCUUUACUGCUACACGGCGAACAUCGAAUUUUUUAUAUUUUGGUAGCAUUUCCAGCGUCACAGUUGAUGCUCCAGGUUUUUCUGGAUCAUUCUUAUUGAAAGGUUCCUGGUUUGAUGGUUUACUAUCCUCCAUGGUCAUCUACAUUUCAAUUGGUUGAACCGCUCGUUUCUUUGGCUUUGGUCCUUUGGUUGAUCUCGGUGCUCGUUUCGGCAUUCGGCUGAUUUGUUCUGGCGUCUUGAUCGUAUCCGAAAGGUCUCCAUACAUUCUCGGUUCUUCCACGUCCCUCAUCACCCACUCGGAAGGAUCAGCGUGCCACUACAAAAGCACACAAUGUCAAUGAAUGGGAAAGGGGAGGGCGGUUACUCUCGCCAACAAAAAUUUGCUGAUUUGCUCACGAUGAUAAUGACAUCCAGCUUUAAGACUGGUUUGUCGUAGAUCUUAUUGUGCUCACCGUUUUAGCUUUUUCUUUUUUGAUGUGCGGGAAUCAUUACAUGAUCAUUACAUGUAUUAUUGCCUGUCCGUUCAUCAGACUGCUUCUCGUUGUCGUCGUUUGUUCACCGCCUAUACUGCAUCAGAAUGGCGCCGUAGUUGGUUUAUGUAUGCCUUUUUAUUGCUUACUGCGCCAGGUCAGUAGGAACAGUGCACCCUUGACGCGGCUGUGACGUCGUUGCCUGCUGACUGUAGUUGCGAUUACGGAGUGUGGUAAUUUCGUGAUUGUUGUGUAUCGAGUGAGCCAUUGUCUGACGGCAGCUUCAAAGGGACUAAAUUUACUCCCCUUUGCUAAGUCGUGUCUAAAUGUGUCUAGACAAGUGACGAGCACGCGCAGGAAAAUCGAAUGUCCGCUUUAGUAUUGUAUUUUGUGUUGAAGCCAGUUACGUUUACGAGUUCCUCUCGUACUUCUUGCUGUACGCUGUGUUAAUGUCUUUGCGUAGCACUUCGAAUGUAUUUGAAUGAGUUUGCUUUGAAUAGUUUUUUAAUUCGCAGAUGCUAUUGUUAGCCUAUAUAAUCGCCAUAUGAGAACACACAUUUUAUUACCAAUUACUUCGAAUGUUCUCAACCAGUAAUUAUCUUGUCUCCACGUUGCUUGAUAACUGGAAAAGCGAGCACUGUCUUAAAUAGAUGAUUUCCUGUACCUCAUUACUCUGCCAUUACUUUUUUUUUGCUGCUUCAAUCCGCUGUGACGCAAAGUCAAGCAACCACACAUGUACGAUGCUGCUCAGUCGAACUUGUUUUUCCGGGGCCUUUCUCCAGGAAGUAACAUUUUAUUUCACUCUUCAGUACAGACGACACCCUUGCAUUUAUAUCGCACAAUGCUCGCGAUAGGUUUGUGAUACCACCAGUGCAGGCAUUUGGACUUAUUGUUGCGCCAUCUUGAAGGCCUUUUUUUGUGUAACUAGUUACAUGGACGAAGAGAAAGAACGAUGCCCACACAGCACUCAAUAGUUCGCAAUAGGACGGCUAUCCACGAAAUUACUGCAUAUUGUGGGGUCAGUGAUUAUGAGGUGACGUGGUACGUAGGGUCAUCAUGUAGGAAUAGGUUUAUGUCCAGUUGGGUCCUAAAGGCACAGAAGAGGCACGUUCGAAUAGUGACGUUCUCGUUUGGUGAAAACAAAAAUCGGGGUGAAGUUUUAUUCCGCUCCCAGCGAAGGUGCUGUGCAACGCUUACUCAUUUCAGGUAGUUCAAAUAACUUCACGCUGUGAAGCCCUUAUGCAUGCAAAUAAAGCCGUAAAGCUAUUGGUGCGACCUAUGUUAUGCUGUUAUUGUCGCUUUUAUUUCUGGUGUUCUACGAAAACGGAGCAGUAUUCGCACAUGGAAUAACCUACCUGUCAAUGUUGAGUAUUCGACGGUGUCUCCUUUCUUGAGUGCAUUCCGCAAUAGCUAACGAUGCUUCACCUUGUCGUGGCAUAUUGUUUCUACGUCCCUUUGUAUGUCUUACGUGGGUCCUUCUAAUGCCGUACUUGCUCGACCAAAUGUAGAUUGUAUUCCUAUAUACUGCAUUGUUAUGUACCCCACUCCUGCCUAAAGCCUGACAUCCAGGCUGACAAUAUGCAAUAAUGUCCGUUUUGCAUUUUUAUACGCGGAAGUACCUUGAAGCUGAGAAAUUCUUUGUGCUAUGUAAAUCCCCUUAUAUAUUCUAUAUGUAUACAUGUACACGUGUGACUUCAUGUGUUCAUUCUGUAUAAAUAAAUGCACUGUAUGCUGCUUUCUGUAUCAUCGGGGAUGAAGCCCAAGUCAGGCAGCAUGAGUCGCUUUUAAUUUCGUUUAUGGUCGUGUUUUUGCGCUUAUUGUACUGAGAAUUCAUCACUUUAGACUACGCCUUACAGAUCUGUCAAAAUAAAACUUCUUAUUCCUGC
This is a long non-coding RNA of Dermacentor albipictus, 13668 nucleotides long. RefSeq lists it as uncharacterized. The record is from RefSeq and is a predicted model, not a curated record. NCBI's taxonomy places the organism in Eukaryota, Metazoa, Arthropoda, Arachnida, Ixodida, Ixodidae.